This is a long non-coding RNA of Mugil cephalus (flathead mullet), 3268 nucleotides long. RefSeq lists it as uncharacterized. The record is from RefSeq and is a predicted model, not a curated record. The transcript has 2 exons. NCBI's taxonomy places the organism in Eukaryota, Metazoa, Chordata, Actinopteri, Mugiliformes, Mugilidae.
UAGACAUAAGAAAAAGAGUCAAACUAAAUAUAAGGUAAAAUAAAACAAAAAUAAGACAAUCUUAAAAAAAAUGAAAAACAAUGAGGUGGUAAGUAAGAAUUACAAAAGAAAUAUACAGUUUAAAUGGAUGGGGAGGUAGGUGAGGUGAUUUAUUGGAACCUUUCCCUAAAAACAGAUGCCUACGUAUAUAAUAGAGUUGAUACGUGUGGUGAGGCUACACAGAAUAUUCAUAGACGCUCAAAGCAGCAACACUGUCCUUAAAGAUGUCAAAAUGCUAAGCAAGGAACAAACAGCUUGUCACAUCCAGCUCUGGUCACGUUUAACUGUUUCUGGGUUUGCUCCUGUUUUACUUUGUAAGUCGCCCUGUCAGGUGUCUUCACUUCCUCCGUGUAGUUGCUGCCGCAAUUGUUUGCCCCGUCCUGAUGUGUCUCACCUGUGCCUCAUUAUUUCCUCUACAUUUAGUCUCCGUGUUUCCUUCCUCCUUUGCUAGUUCCCCAUUGUACUCCACGUCAGUAUUCUUCUAGUCUUUUUCUUUUGUGCUUUGAAACUUUUUUUCCCCUCGUUAUUUUUGGACUUUGCCUACUUUCGGUGCUGACAGCUGAAGUCAGGAUAAAAAAUGCGUCUGACAUUGUAAAGAGAGUUAUGGUUCUCCGGGGGGAAGAUCAGAGGGACGCAUCACACGCAUGCAGACUGCAGGAGUCAGUACAAACAUGCUACUCAAAUGACAGCAAAGAGCCGGAUUAUCAGCCGCACACAGACGAGGAGACGGAAAACAGGAACGUGCCUAUAUAAUGGAGGGAAAGAACUGAUGUCUGUCCAAUUUGCAGCUAAACAGAGUCAGACUGCAAAUUGCUCAUUCUCCAUUUCACCCAAUUUCUUGAUUUGUCGCACACGCCUAAUUGCGAAUCAAAACAUGGCGCCGCUAAUCACACGUCUCUGCCUGCGUGAGGAGGAGUCACGUCUCUGCACAGAAGUUUGUUGACGGAUCGUAACAGCUGGCUUUUCAUACUUCAACCCCUCGGCCUGCGUGUAACGCAAACAAACCGCUCAUCGUUCUCCAGUGCAUCAGGACGCGCCGCGCUAAUGUUGUGACACGUCGUCUCCUGCGCUGUAAUUACGGCAAGACAACGUCAGCUAUCGGGAGUGCAGGUUCACCUCCGCUGCCUUAAUGCAUAAUUCACGCCACAUGGUUCUUCAUCGGCCGGCUUCCACUUCCUCGCACGCGCGACGUUAUCACUUUAAUAUGCCAAGGCCAUGCCAUCAAUAAUGCGAACAUAAUUGAUGCUCGCUGGAAGCGCUGCUGCGGGCAACAAGCAACUGCAACACUUUCGUCUUAUUUUCUCUCUGCGCGUUAGCGCGUCUGCCUGAAUUCAUUUGCUAUAUUUAGGCGGAGCAGCGCAUCGAUACAAACCCCGAAAGAAAUCAGAAAUAGGUUAUAUAUGCGCGCAGUUAUUCAAGGAUACUGUCUUCAUCUGUGUGGGGUUCAUUUCACCAAAGUUUUUUUAUAUCUGGUUCCUGAGUUGAAUACAGAAGUGGGCGUGGCCUGGCUUUAACGUUAUGGGACAACAAAGACUAAUUAAACCGUUAUAGUAUAGUUCAUAGAUCAGAAUCGGUUAAAUGUGAAUGAGCCGCACUUAAACAGUAUUUAAAAACAAAAUAAUGAUUUACUGUGAGAAACAAAAUCUGAUGAGACUUUGUUUAAAUAGGAUAAUGGCUCAUAUUUAUCAAAAAACAGUAAUUAAAUUUAAAAAAAAAAAAACCUGAUUAUGGAAAAAUUAGGUUAUUUGUUUAUUUCACUGGGUAGUCCUACAACCAACCAGUCAUUUUGUUACUGUGUUACUCUUCUCUCCAUCACCACAUGAACACCACCCCCGGACCCUAAUCGGUUCAGCCUAAACGGAGAGACUCACACUGCAUACACUUGACGUCGUUUUCCGCAUCUGUGACAAUCCCCAACUUUCACCCGUCGUUUGGCCCGUUAAAAUUUUUGUUAACGGGACAGCUUGACACCUUUUGAGCAUUUGCAGCGUGGCAGAAUUCUUAUUGUUUUUCCAGGUCAGCGGAGCCUCUCUGUGCUUGCAUCAUUGUUUUGAUGUCGUGGUCCUCGUCUGUGACUUUGGUCAGAAGCCUCUGAAGCACAGUCGGAGUAGGAAUCUCGUCUGAAGCCGAAGCAUCAAAGCGGCUCACUUUUUUUUCUUUUUUUUGCUUAAGUCUUCAAACUGUGACAGCGUCUCUUCUAGAAGUGUCCACUGGUGAGCGCUGUCAGGUGGCUCAAACUCAGACCAAAGUAGUCCUGCCCACUUCAGCUUGACCUUAGCAGUACGGUAUUAGCGUGUGGCACAUGUUGCUGUAGCAUGUUGGCAAGUAUUUCUGCCUUUUUGAAGGCUGUGUGAGCUGUACCUGGAUGUCGUCCUCAUGGGACUGGGCCACGGUAUUGUAUGUCCACCUGCAACUUCCUUAAGCCAAAAUAUCCUCGUUACAGACGAAUAUCUUUGAACUGCUCUGAAGAAGCCACACAGAUCAGUAGCUGCUUCUGGACAUUUUUGUGUUCCAGUUUGACUGAAUAAGUGUCUGAGUGAGUUUGAGGAAGAAAAAUAUUCCUGCACAAAUAUGGAUGCAUCCCUUUCCAAAGUUUAUGAUCUGCUCAUAUGGAACACUGUUACGCGCAAUUACAUCUCUUGCGCUCUUUAAUAUACUCCAGCUGGUAAUUUCUUGAAUACUGACUGAGGCGUGUGCAGCUAUCAUUUAUCCACCUCGAUAAACUUUUUUUUUAAACAAACAUUUCAUUUCUGUUCAUCAUUAAGUCUUCAAUUACCCUCUGUUAAUGAAGACUUGUAAUUAUCCAUUCAUUUAAUUAAAAAAAAAAGGCUUAAUUUCUCCUUUCUGUGACACGGCUUUGUCUGGGUUCAUCCUCUGUGAACUAAAUCUGUGUAUAAAGAUAGGCAGAAAUAGCAAAGGAGACUGAAGCCAACAUUAAUCACUGAAAUUAACAAUUUCAUGAUUGAUGCUAAUGAAAAAACUGCCUCAACUCUCCUCCCCUAUGAAUUCCAUUAGCCAAGUUUAACGCCCUUGUGGAUGCUGGAGACAUUUAUUUAUUUAUUUUUAUUUAAAUCUGUAAUGUCCAAAACGACUCAGAAGUUUACAGUUUGAAGUUUGAGUUGUGUGGGUUUAGGUUGUGUAUCUUGGUGUAAAGAGCAAACUGUCACAGAAACAAAGGAACUGUAUCUGCUUUCUGCACUGUAAAUUAAAUCCAUUGAUUAUAAAUAAA